UCUUUCAGAAAGAUUAUAUUACAGGACACAGACACAGAAAUCAUUGCAAAUCAAGAGUAAAUUACAAAGUGAAAAUCAAGAAUGGAGGCAAGAGGGGUUGGAAGACUUGGGACAACGAAAGAUGUUCCUGCCUAUGCUUCUGAGAUAGUGGAGCCACUCAAAUUCCGCAUGAGGGGACAAUUGACUUGCUAACUUUGCUCCCCGUAUCAGGAGCUCACAUGUUGAUGGGGCAAAAGGCUGAACCAUCCUACUUAGGACAAAGGAUGAAGAAAAGAAGCAGGGGAAGAAAAGGAAAUUGGAACCAUGUUGAUCAUACACUUGAAAUGAAGGAUGGUGAACAUUUCAGCAUCUGUAGGAGGAAGUCAUGUGUCUGGCCACAGUGACCUCUCAUAAGUGAGGAUAACUUAGAAGUUGGCUCCAGGGUUCCUUUCGGGGUCUUGGAAAGAAGGUC
This is a long non-coding RNA of Talpa occidentalis (Iberian mole), 451 nucleotides long. RefSeq lists it as uncharacterized. The transcript is spliced from 5 exons. Lineage: Eukaryota; Metazoa; Chordata; Mammalia; Eulipotyphla; Talpidae. The record is from RefSeq and is a predicted model, not a curated record.